This 436-nucleotide ribosomal RNA is filed under the name uncultured bacterium. Its description in RNAcentral is "bacterial SSU rRNA". It matches the Rfam family "Bacterial small subunit ribosomal RNA", at positions 366 to 793 of the family's 1533-position model. The record is from RNAcentral.
GCACAAGUGGGGGAAACCCUGAUGCAGCCAUGCCGCGUGUGUGAAGAAGGCCUUCGGGUUGUAAAGUACUUUCAGCAGUGAGGAAGGUGGUGUAGUUAAUAGCUGCAUUAUUUGACGUUAGCUGCAGAAGAAGCACCGGCUAACUCCGUGCCAGCAGCCGCGGUAAUACGGAGGGUGCGAGCGUUAAUCGGAAUUACUGGGCGUAAAGCGCAUGCAGGUGGUUUGUUAAGUCAGAUGUGAAAGCCCCGGGGCUCAACCUCGGAAUUGCAUUUGAAACUGGCAGACUAGAGUACUGUAGAGGGGGUAGAAUUUCAGGUGUAGCGGUGAAAUGCGUAGAGAUCUGAAGGAAUACCGGUGGCGAAGGCGGCCCCCUGGACAGAUACUGACACUCAGAUGCGAAAGCGUGGGGAGCAAACAGGAUUAGAUACCCUGGUAG